ACCUCUGCAAUAGGCGAAAGCUUGACAGGGUUACUCUGAGUGAUGCCCGCUAAGGGCAUCUUUUGGCACCUCUAAAAAUGGUGCAGAAUAAGGGGUGGGCAAGUCUGGUGUCAGCCGCCGCGGUAAUACCAGCACCCCGAGUGGUCGGGACGAUUAUUGGGCCUAAAGCAUCCGUAGCUUGUUCUGCAAGUCCUCCGUUAAAUCCACCUGCUCAACAGAUGGGCCGCGGAGGAUACUACAGGGCUAGGAGGCGGGAGAGGCAAGCGGUACUCAGUGGGUAGGGGUAAAAUCCUCUGAUCCACUGAAGACCACCAGUGGCGAAGGCGGCUUGCCAGAACGCGCUCGACGGUGAGGGAUGAAAGCUGGGGGAGCAAACCGGAUUAGAUACCCGGGUAGUCCCAGCUGUAAACGAUGCAGACUCGGUGAUGGGUUGGCUUUGAGCCAACCCAGUGCCGCAGGGAAGCCGUUAAGUCUGCCGCCUGGGGAGUACGGUCGCAAGACUGAAACUUAA
Molecule: ribosomal RNA, 511 nt
Filed under: uncultured archaeon
Lineage: Archaea
Description: bacterial SSU rRNA
Rfam family: Archaeal small subunit ribosomal RNA
Source: RNAcentral